Molecule: ribosomal RNA, 253 nt
Filed under: uncultured bacterium
Lineage: Bacteria
Description: partial 16S ribosomal RNA
Rfam family: Bacterial small subunit ribosomal RNA
Source: RNAcentral
UACGUAGGGUGCGAGCGUUGCCCGGAUUUAUUGGGCGUAAAGGGCGCGUAGGCGGCUCGGCACGUCCGUUGUGAAAUCGCCCGGCUCAACUGGGCGGGGUCAGCGGAUACGGUCGAGCUUGAGCAAGCUAGGGGGCAAUGGAAUUCCCGGUGUAGUGGUGGAAUGCGUAGAUAUCGGGAGGAACACCAGUGGCGAAGGCGACUUCUUGGCCUGUUCUUGACGCUGAGGCGCGAAAGCUGGGGGAGCAAACGGG